Molecule: long non-coding RNA, 10286 nt
Filed under: Solanum lycopersicum (tomato)
Lineage: Eukaryota; Viridiplantae; Streptophyta; Magnoliopsida; Solanales; Solanaceae
Description: long non-coding RNA (SLYC_LNC000783)
Source: RNAcentral
GAAUAAUUAAGAUGAACAUAGUCAGACUUUGAAGUUUAUCGGUAAUUUUUGUUAGAAACUUGAAUGUAUGAUAAUUUACUUCUAUAGAUAUUUUUACCUCAAAUUUUUAAAAACACUCAAUUGGAAGUAGCUUUUCUGUUGUUGCAUUAAUAAUGUGACGAGUUUAUUAAUUUGGAGGGGUUUAAUUAGAAAUUGGUGGGUAGUGGAUUGAUUUAUAAAUUAUACUAAUAAGUUAAAUUAUAACAAAUAGUUUAGCGCCACGUAUUUAAAGAAAUUAAAUAGUUUAAAUUUAAAACCAUUAAAUUCAAUUUUGAACCAAAAGGUGGAUGACAAGGAUAUUUUGGAGCCAAUAGGUGGGCGGGAAGGGUAUUUUGGAUCCAAUAGGUGGAUAGAGGGUAAUUUUGUACCAUUUCCAAUACUUUGAGAGUAUUUUAGGCCUUUUUUCGUAUAAUAAUAAUAUGAUAUAUGCAUAUCUAUUCAGUAAUUAAACAUCCCAUAAUCACUGGUCAUAAUUGCCCUAAAAUAUAUCCCUCGGUUCUUGUCGACAGUGUGUCUAAACCUGACCUCAAUUCAACAAUUAUCAAAUAGAAAUUUAAUAGAACAGUAGAUGUUUUUGGGACAAUUUUCUAUUAAUCAACUGAAUAUAAGGAAUUACAACUUGAAACAAUGGAAAAUGAAUCUAAAGUUUAGAAGUUUCCAUGGAUGAGUCCUUAAUCUGCAGAAGAAGAAUGAGUGGGUUAGGAAGGAAGAAGAAGAAAUGAGAGAUAUCAUAGAGAAGAGAGAAUAAGUGAGAAGAUACUAAUUAUCCGUUAAGCCCCUCUUUCCUCUGCAAAGUUGGUUAAAUCAACACGACUAGUGCUAGUUUGGCAUUGAUGAUGUGGCUGCAUCUCCACCCUCUAAACUCAUUAAUCUACAUAUAAUCUGGACCAUUGCUUCUAAUUGGUAGUCAUAUCUACGUAUUGGAAGUCAAGGUCAUGACAAUUCCCACCCCUCAAAACAUCCUUUUCCUCAAGGAUCAAUAAUAAAAUCAAGAAACUUGUCCUUGAUGAAAUGAUAAUCUUCCCAUGUAGCAUCUUUAGGAAGUCACUAUCUGCCACUAAAGAACAACCACUGGUCGAACUAAAAUUUGACCAUCCUUCUCAGUAAUUGGUAGAAUAGAUUGCAACACCUCUCUAGCCCCUAUCUUCUUUUUGAGAAGCGAUACAUGGAACAUUGAAUGGACUUUAGAAGUAGGUGGAAGAUCUAGCUUAUAGGCUACUGGUCCAAUCCUUUCUAGAAUCUUGUACAGGCCAUAUAUUUGGAGCUAAGCUUCAAAUUUCUUCGUACACUAGUGGAGGACUGAAGCUUGAGGUAUACCAUCUCACCAGGUUGAGACUCCUUUUUAGAACUAUGAAGAUCAACAUAGUACUUCAUUCUUUCUUGAGCUUUCAACAAAUUGUCCUUAAGAAUUUGUUGUAUAUGUUGCCUCUUCAUGAACAAAUCUUCAGUAGCAGGCACCACAAUAUCCAUCAUUGGUCCCAUCGAUAGUUGAGGAGGUGAGUACCCAUACUAAUCUUCAAAAGGGGUGCAAUACGAGCUUGUGUGACAGUUGUUGUUGUACCACCACUCACCUAAGUGAAACCACUACUUCCACUGAUGAGUUCUGUGACUAGUCAUGCACCUCAAGUAUUUUUUAUACACCGAUUAACCCUCUCUAUUUUCCAAUCUGCUUGAGGAUGAUAUGAAGAACUAUAUAAGAGUUGUGUGCUACUCAAUUUGAAAAGAUCUUGCUAGAAAGUACUCAAAAAUAUCCUAUCUCGAUCAAGAAUAAUGAACUCAGGUGCACCACGAAAAGUGUGUACUCUCUUCCAAAAUUUAGUUGCUACUUGCAGAGCUAUGAAGGGUGGGAUAGAGAUAUAAAAUGAUCACCUUUAGUGAGCAUAUUAACCAUUACAAUAAUAACAUCCUUUCUUGAGGAUUUAGGAAAAUUUCAAUAAAAUCCAAACUUAUGUGUCUCCAUGACUAAUCAGGAAUGGGCAAGGGUUGCAGCAAACCUUGAUAGGGAACAUUCUCAUCCUUGCUCCUAUGAUUAACCUCAAACUGCACCAUCAUUUGUUUCAUUGAAGGAAAAUAGAGUAAUAUAGAAAAACUUUUGAAAGUUGCAAGUUGGCCUGAGUGCCCUCCUACGUUAGAAGAAUAGAAGGUCCAGAUCAAUUGAUGACAAAGAGGUCCAUUAGAGCCCACAUAAAUCUUCCCCUUCCUUCGCAAUACUCCUUAGUAGAAUUGCCACAGAUAUGGACAAUUAGUAUUACUUUCAACUGUGUAAUGAGCUCUACGGACAUAGGAUCUCCUUCAUAGCUAGUUUCAACCCCUUGGGCCCACAAUGGAACUGUUGCUCUAAUAUCAUGGAAUUGACCUUCUUCAUGCAAGUGGUUUUCCUCUUGUAGGUUAGACAUUAUAUUAGCUUCACUCAAGCUAACCCCUUCAUAUUGCCUUGAGAGUACAUCAGACACUUUAUUCUCUGCCCCUUUCUUAUACUGGACUUCAUAAUCUAACCCCAACAAUUUGGUCACACCACUUUGUUGCAUUGUUGUAGUAACCUCUGUUCAAGAAAAUACUUAAGGCUAUGAUGGUCAGUCUUGACCAGAAAAUGCUUAUAUCAAAGGUAAUGUCGCCACUUGUCUACUACAUUCAAUCGAGCUAAAUAUUCUUUCUCGUAGAUGGAGUUAUAUCUAUGCUUAAUAGCCAAUACCUUACUAAAAUAGGAUAUUGGUCUUCCCCUUUGUAACAGCACAACUCUGAAUCCUGAAUGACAUGCAUCAGUCUCUACUAAAAAUUCUUCAUCAUGAAUUUGGUAAUGCAAGCAUUGGUGUGGCAGACAUGACCUUUUUAAUUGCCGCAACAGAUUGAUCAGCUUCCUCAAUCCGCACAAUAACAUUCUUCUUCAACAAGUCAGAUAGUAGUCUUAUUAUUCUUUCAUAAUUAGGUACAUAUUUUCUAUAAUAUCCUGUUACACCAAGAAAUCCCCUCAAAGCUUUCACAGUUCUAGGGGUAGGCCAUUCUUCCAUAUCUUUAAGAACAUGCCCUAAGUACUCUUUAGAUUGACCAAAAGAGCACUUGGACCUUUUUGCAUACAAGAAAUGAAAUAAUAAGGUGUUGGACACCAACAGUAAAUGCUCUACAUGUGCAGACAAUGAUUUACUAUAAAUGAGAAUAUCAUCAAAAACACAAAAACAAACUUCAUGAGGUACAAUUGAAAGAAUUCGUUGGGGCCUAAAAGGUAACGGAAACUUUGGUAAUCCCAAAGGGCAUACCUUAAACUCAUAAUGACCUAUGUGAGUUAUGAAUGUCGUUUUGUACACAUUUUUAACCUUCAUUCUUAUUUGAUGAUAACCCUCUCUGAGAUCAAUUUUGGAAAAGACAAUGGUCCAUAUAGCUCAUCUAAAAGGUCAUCAAUGACGGGAAUUGGGUACUUAUCCUCACUUUGAUCUCAUUCAAUCCUCUGUAGUCUCACAAAACCGCAAGGUGCAAUCCUUUUACUUAACCAAUAGAGCUGGUGAGGAAAAGGGAGAUUAGUUAUGACUAAUAAUCCCAUUAGUAAGCAUCUUCGAAACAUGAUUUUAUAAUUCCUCCUUUUGGUAGUGAUUGUAUCUAUAAGGUCUUAGACUAACUGGUGAGGCUCCAGGAAUUAAGUUAAUACCAUGGUCCAGUUGUCUCACUGGUGGUAAAGACUGGCUCAGCAAAUAUGGACUAGUACUUGUCCAACACUUCUUGUAUAUGGCAUCCACCUGCUUUUACUCAUUGUAAGACUAUGCUCCUAGCAUGAAUAAAUUAGCCAUCAAGUUUUGAUCCUUCUUGAUCAGCCAUCCCAUGACACUACCAAUGAUCAUACUCAAACUAUUUUCACCUAUAAAAACAUGUAGAAUGGUUUUGUUUCCAUUUCUACCAAUUGUAACACACUUUUUUUCAUGAUCGAACUUGGUAGGAUUAUUUCUCUUAUUCCAAUCAUUUCCUAGCACUAGAUCAUAUCCUCCUUAGUUGAUGAUUCUUAGAUCCUCCUUGAGGCUUUUACAUUCAUUUUCCAAUUAAAACAAGGGCAACUAAUAUGACACGUCACAUAAUUUCCAUCAGCAACAAUGACCAAAUGCGGGAUUCUCAGCCACAUAACCAGUGUUAUCAACUGCUUGUUCGUCUAUGAUAUGAGUGCUAUCAGAAUCGAUCAACACCGCUAAUGCCCUAUUCCCUACAGACCCUUUGACCAACAUAAAAUUUACUCCUAGGAUACUACCAAAUAAUACCCUCAAACAUGUGUCCUUCAUAACCUUCUGUUGUAUCUCUCAUUCAAUGAUAAGAUCUGGUGGUUCAGGUACUUCUUCAUCACCCCUCAUGCAAUUCAACUGCUCAGCCUUGCGGUUAUGUCCUAGGUAGUACUUCUCUCCGCACCUGAAACAUAACUUGUUGCUCUUUCUAUAUUCAUAAACUUCUUGGGUUAACCUAAAAAGUGUUUGGUCUAGGUUUGUUCACAACAAUAGGUUUGAAGUAGUUUCUGUUAGAACAAAAAUACUCAAGAAACUGAUUUGAAAAAACAAAAAUAGAGUGAACUUAUGAAAUUCCUUGUAUAUAUUAAUCUAUAGAAAGUCUGAAUUUAUACAAGGAAAAACAUAAACAUUAAAAUUAAAUAAGAACAUGUGCCGCUAAUUACCAUAAAAUGGGCCACUAACUGCCAUAAUAGGGACACUAACUUCAGAAAGUUGACCAACUAAAGUUGCCUAAGUCUAGCUAGAAAAUAGGAAACACUAAACGAAAAUAAGUAAAAACCUGUGUAACACUCCUCCUUGGCUUCUUUGCCUAAAAUCUUCAAACCUUUCCUUUGGAAAUGACUUGGUGAAAAUGUCAGUUUGUUGGUUCUCAGAUGAACAAUGAACAAGCAACACUUCAUUAAAUUAUUGGACUUUUCUGAUAAAAUAAAACUUGAUCUUGAUAUGCUUAGUUCGACCAUGAAAAACUAGAUUUUUUUAGAUUUAAAUUGUUGAACAGUUGUCACACAUGAUCUUGGUAGCUUCUGCUUGUUCAUGGCCUAAGUCCUUCAUCAUCUUCCUUAGCCAGAUAGCUUGAUUCACAACAGAUGUAGCAGCUAUGUACUCAGCUUCUGCUGUUGAUUGAGCUGUAGUUUCUUGUUUUUUAGAGCUCCAACUAAAACAAUUUGUCCCAAACAGAAAAGAUAUCUAAAGUUGUUUUUGGAAUCAUCAACUCCACCAACCCUAUCACUAUUAGAGUACCCGAUCAGGUUCAUAGUUACUUCGGUAGAUGUUGAGAAAAAAUUACAAACUUGUUGGUUCCUUUAAUAUACCUUAACACUCUUUUAGCCGCUGUGAGGUGUGUGUCUCUAGGAGAAUGCAUUUUAGAUAUAGAAGUUUGCCAAUUAAGCUUCUAUGCAAACUAUCGUCCACUUCUUCGGAAUCCUCUUCCUUUCCAAGAUUCACACCAGUAUAUAUUGGAGUACUCACAGGUUUGCAGUCUUGCAUUUUGAACCUGUUUAGAAUAUCCAAAAUGUAUUUUAGCUAGCAUAUGAAAAUUCCUUCACUGGACUGCAACACUUCCAUGUCGAGAAAGUACGUCAUGACUCUAAGAUCAGUCAUUUCAAAUAUUUUCUCCAUUUCAUCCUUCAACCUUUGGAUUAGUUCAAUUUUGCUUUCUGUCACAAGCAUGCCAUCCACAUAAAUUGAUACAAUUAAGGAAUCCUCAGCAGCAUUGAAUUUCACAUACAAAGUAGCUUCACUUGACUUCUACUAAAGCCAAGUUGGAUGAGAUGAUUGUCCAUCCUCUCAUACCAUGCCCUUGGAGCUUGUUUUAGGCCAUACAAGGCCUUUCUUAAGAGAUAAACUUGAUACUCUUUUUUGGGAGUUGAGAAACCAUCAGGUUUCUCUAUAUAGAUCUCUUCAGCAAGAAAACAUUCAAGAAAGCCGAUUUGACAUCAAGUUGAUGAAUAUGCCAGGAACUAUGAGAUGCAAAUGCAAGUUUAAGCUUGAUUGUGUCAUACCUUGCUACAGGGGCAAACAUUUCCUGGUAAUCCACACCAUAUUGUUGUGCGUAUCCCUUCACCACCAAUCUAGCCUUAUGUUUGCAAACUGUUCCAUCAGGAUUGAGUUUUGUCUUGAAAAACCAUUUUACACCAAUCACCUUGCAAUUUCGAGGUCUAUCAAUAAGCUUCCAGGUUCCGUUCUUCUCGAUCACGUCUAUUUCUUCUUGGAUAGCUCUCCUCCAUGCCUGAGAGUCUUUUGCUUCAGCAUAGCUUGUUGGUUCAGAGGUAACCAAGUUACACCGUUAAUAGACAUCUUUUAAGGAUCGAGUUCCCCUCACUGGUACAUCAUCCACUAGUUCAUCUUCUGAAAGUUGAGGUUGCUCUAUUGAAAAUAAAUCAGAAUAAGAGGUCUUCUGAUUUUUCCAAUCCCAGCCUGCUGCUUCAUCAAAAUUCACUUUUCGGCUGAGAAUUAGUUUGUCUGAUUUCAAACAGAAAAUCCUUUAACCUUUGGAUGAACUAUAGCCCAUAAAUAUGCCUUUAUGAGCCUUGUUGUCCAGCUUACUCCUUUCUGUUUCUGGAACUUGAUAAUAACAUAUACACCCAAAGAUUCUGAGAUGGUGUACCGAUGGUUUGUUCCCACACCAUGCUUCAUAUGUAGUCAUGUCCUACAAGGCCUUAGUAGGCAAUUUGUUCAACAAAUAUACAGAGGUAUUGACUAAAUCAGCCCAAAUCUAAUUUGGGAUCUUUCUUUUGAGCAAAAGACAUCUGGUCAUCUCCAUUACUGUCUUGUUCUUCCUUUUAAACACGCCAUUUUGUUGUGGAGUGUAUGGUAAUGUCAAUUGGCGUUCAAUACAUGCGUUAUUACAAAACUCCACAAAUUUAGAAGAAGAAUAUCUAAGAUUACAUUGAUUUUCUACAAAAGCUUUAAAUUGUUUAAAAACAUAAAGACUUCACUCUUCAGUCUUAUGAAAUAAACCCAACACAUUCUAGUGUAGUUAUCAAUAAAGAGGAGAAAGUAUUUGUUACCACUCAACGAAAUUGUUUUCAUUGGGCCGCAAACAUUCGUAUGAAUGAGCUAAAGUUUCUGGUUAGCUUUCCGUACUUGAUUUGCUUGAAAUGACAAUUUUGUUUGCUUUCCCUGUUGGCAAGUUUCACAAACUUGAGCAUUAGAAAGAAAUUCAGGCAUAUUUUUCACUAGCUCCGUUUUUUCAUCUCCACAACGCUUCUCAUAUUGAAGUGACUAAACCUUUUGUGUCAUAGGUUUGUACAUGUUUGUGAAGCCUACUCAGUUAUUUUCUCCCAAUCAACUGAAAAACAUUUUGUUGCUCAUAUUCAUAAAAUAACUUUACUCCACAAGGGUCAGAAACAACACAUUCACAAUUCUUAAAAAGCGGAGAAUAAUUAUUUUCAAGCAUUUUUCCAACACUGAAAUUUUUUUGACUCAUAUUAGGUGUGUACAAAACAUCAGGAAUAGUUUUGAUACCUGAUAUUGUUGAGAUAGGCGUUGUAGCUCUGCCUUUGACUUCUACUGCCUCAUCGUUUCCCACUUUUACUUUAGAUUUGUAAGUGUCAUCGAGGAAUUUGAACAGUUCAACAUCAUUGCACAAGUGAUGUGUGCAAUCACUGUCAAGAAGCCAUGAAUCAGAGGAUUCACUUAUUGAAAAGUAGAAACUGCAAAGAGUUGCUCCUCAUGUGCAUCGGCAGCUUCUGCUUUUUGUGCUUGCAAAGCACCAGAGGCCUUUGCUCUUGAUUUGCAGACCUUGGAUAUGUGUCGCCUCUGCUUACAGUUGCAGCAUAUAGUAUCAAAUCUCCACCAACAAUACUUCUCCAAAUGUUUAUUUCUUUUACAAUGUUUGCAAGGAGGGAAGUUCUGCUUCACAUCUCCAGUGUUGUUUCCUCCAUCAUGCUUGCCCUUAUUCUUUUGGUGGAAUGGUUGCUUUCCUUGUUGCUUUUGUACAGAGAAAGCUCCUUUACUGACUUUUCCCGUCUCAUAUUCCUCCUUUAGUCUUGUGCACGAAGAGCACUCAUUAGUUCACCUAAUGAAAGUUUGCCUAGGUCUUUGGAUUCUUCAAGAGAGGAAAUCUUAGAUUCAAACCUCUCAGAAAGAGUCACAAGAACUUUUUCCACAAUUCGUUUUUUUGUAAACUCUUCGCUAAGAAUUCUAAUGUUAUUAACAAUUAAGGAGAUUCGAUCAGCAUGAUUACUGAUAGUUUCAUCCUCCUGCAUAUUCAACACUUGCAUUUGACGCAUUCUAUCGCUGCAUUGAUAUUGACACAUUCUAUCGCUGCAUUGAUAUUGACGCAUUCUAUCACUGCCUUGAUAUUCUUCUUUCAACCUAUCCCAAAACUCUUUUGCUGUUUUGCAAGCCAUGAUUCUGUAAAAUACAGAAUCUUCCACAGCAUUCUACAUAAGCAACUUGGCUUUAGAUUUUGUUUGCCCUCUCUUCGUUGUUGGAUUUGAUCUGAGCCAAGGUAGGAUUUGAUGAUAGAGCAGCAAGUGGUUUAUCUUCCGUCACAGUUUCCCAAAGUUCAUAGGCUUCCAAAGAAGCUUGCAUCUUCAUAGACCAUAUUUGGUAAUUUUCACCAGUGAAAGUGAAUGGUGGAUUUAAAGGUAGGUUGUUGGAUGUCAUUUGUUUUAUAGCUUAAAACUUUUUUGUCCAGUAAGAUCAACUAGAGGCUCUGAUGCCACUAUUAGAACAAAAAAACUCAAGAAACUUAUUUGAAAAAAUAAAAAUAGAGUGGACUUAUGAAAUUCCUUGUGUAUAUUAAUCUGCAGAAAGUUUGAAUUUAUACAAGGAAAAAACAUAAACAUUAAAAUUAAAUAAGAACAUGUGCCACUAACUACCAUAAAAGGGGCCACUAACAGCCAUAAUGGGGAUACUAACUUCAGAAAGUUGAGUAACUAAAGUUGACUACGUCUAACUAAAAAAUAGGAAGCACUAAAUUGAAAUAAGUAAAAACAGUAAAAAUAAUAAUAAGCUGGAAAAAAAUGUCAAUUGUCUAACAUUUUGAACCACCGGCAACCGUAGUAAUUAGAUUACUUCCCAUAACAUUCUUUGUAGAGCUAGACUCUCCCACCGAAUAGAAAGUUUUAGCCCUUCUUCUUCUUCAUCACUUCUAUUGCUUUCUCCUGUAGCCUAGCCUGCUCUAUAGUUGCUUUUAAUGUUACCAACUUAAACAUUUUGACCCCAAACUUAAUUUCCUCUUUCAAAGACCCAAUAAAACUUGACAGAAAAUGAGCCUCAUUCAAGGCUGAAUUCCUUAUUAUCAUAUGGGCUUUCAAGUCUUCAAACUUGCCAAGGAAUUCAUCUACAGUUCCUGUUUGAGAUAGCUUAUUAAAUUCCUCGACUGUAUCUUCAACCACUGUUUCCCCAAAUCACACACAUAGUUCCUCCUUAAAUUCAGUAACUACUUUUCUAUCAAAAACUAGUGAAUUAUAUCAAGUCCAUUCAAAUAGAGUGCAGCUCCCUCUACCUUCUGAUUAUCAACAAUUCUAUAUAGGUUAAAAUAUUUUUCACACUUACGCAACCAUACCUUAGGUUUGUUCCCUUCGAAGCUUGGUAGUUCCCGUUUAGGAAGUGGAAUAGGCAAUCAAGCCCUACUUUCCUGAUGCUCUUCAGUCAGACCAUCUUCAGGAGAGCUGACUGAUGCUCUUUUUAGAGAUUCCAAACGAUCCAAAAAUAGCUCCAAAGUUCACUUGAUUCCAGUUUGAGUCUUUUGAGUUCUUUGCAGUUCAUAGUGAGAUCUCCCAAAAUUUUAUCAUGACGAAGCAACUUAUCAUCUAACAGCUUCAUCCUGGUCCCUUCAACCAUUUUCACCUUCAUAAAUUGAGUGUAACCUUGCCCUGAUACUAAUUACUAAAACCUCACCUCAAUUCAACAAUUAUAAAAUAGAAAUUUAAUAGAACAAUAGAAGUUUUUUGGACAAUUUUCUAUUAAUCAACUGAACGUAAGGAAUUACAACUUGAAACAAUGGAAAAUGAAUCUAAAGUUUGGAAGUAUCAAUAGAUGAGUCCUUAAUUUGUAGAAGAAGAAUGAGUGGGAUUAGGAAGGAAGAAGAUUAAAGGAGAAAUCUGAGAGAAGAGAGAAUAAGUCAGAAGAUGCCCAUUAUCCGUUAAGCCCCUUUUUCCUCUGCACAGUUGGUUAAAUCAACGUGACUUAUGCUAGUUUGGCACUGAUAACGUGGUUGCAUCUCCACCCUCUAAUCUCAUUAAUCUACGUCUAAUUUGGAUUGUUGCUUCUACCCGAUAGUUAUAACUACUUAUUGAAAGCCAAGGUCAUGACACA